RNAcentral lists this ribosomal RNA (290 nucleotides) under uncultured bacterium. Its description in RNAcentral is "partial 16S ribosomal RNA". It matches the Rfam family "Bacterial small subunit ribosomal RNA", at positions 335 to 641 of the family's 1533-position model. The record is from RNAcentral.
CUGGCCUACGGGAGGCAGCAGUAGGGAAUAUUGCUCAAUGGGGGAAACCCUGAAGCAGCAACGCCGCGUGGAGGAUGAAGGUUUUCGGAUUGUAAACUCCUUUUGUUAGAGAAGAUAAUGACGGUAUCUAACGAAUAAGCACCGGCUAACUCCGUGCCAGCAGCCGCGGUAAUACGGAGGGAGCAAGCGUUACUCGGAAUCACUGGGCGUAAAGAGCGCGGAGGCGGGAUAGCAAGCCAGAUGUGAACUCCCAUGGCUUAACCAUAGAACUGCAAUUGAAACUGUUAUUC